This is a long non-coding RNA of Tympanuchus pallidicinctus (lesser prairie-chicken), 10634 nucleotides long. RefSeq lists it as uncharacterized. The transcript is spliced from 29 exons. Lineage: Eukaryota; Metazoa; Chordata; Aves; Galliformes; Phasianidae. The record is from RefSeq and is a predicted model, not a curated record.
UGCAGGGGUCACACUGUGUCAGCUGGUGUGUCAGAGUGUAAAUAAUACCACAAUAAACAUUGGAUUAACAGAAAAAACAUUGUUACUUGGACUUUGGCAUUAUCAGAAAGUAAGGCUGUAGCAUAUGAUUAUCUCAAAGCAGAUGAAGUUGCAGUUUUUGUGCUAUGUCUGCUGCUUUUCUUACUUCCACUCUGUUUCUGAAGACAAAGAUAUUGGGGUCACCAAUAAUAAUGCAAAACAUUGUAGUGUUACGUCUUGGGAAAAAGUGGCAGCUUCAGGAAAUUAUGGAACAGAACAUAAUAAUUUCAGUUGAGAUCAGUAAGUUUUUGUUGUGGUAUAUCUAAGGCAAGCAGGCAAGAAGUUAGGUGAAUGCAGAAGGCCAGCAUACCAGGUGCCACAAAUGAAAAAACAGUGCCACAAAUGAGAGUGAUAAUUUGCACCUGUAGGGGAACUGGUUAUGUCAGGGCCUGAACUGAUGAUUGAGCACCUGGUGAAGCGGGUGGCUGGCUCCGGAAGUACAGACACAAGUGAUUGACUUCAUUGAGGUGCUUCCCACCUCAUUGGGAGGGGUGAGCCACCCCUCCCUGGGCUCAUUUAAGGGCUAGCCUCCAAAGGGAGAACACGUCCUGGAUGAGGACUGUUUCCUGAGAAGGAAUGUUCCACUGUUGUGAGACGCUCAUCAGCUGGGCCACAGUGCUAGAUAAAACUUCUUUAAGGCACCUGAGAGAGAGAGGGAAAGAACACCUCCAGAGAGCAGCCUGCUGAUAGAACCUACUUCUAACAAUAUGUGAGAGAGCAGCAAGUUAUCAGGCAUAGGGACAGAAGGGGAAGAUGAAGAUAGCUUUCUUGUUCCAUGAGAAGUGGGAGGUGAAGCGGCAAAGAAGACAGGAAGGCUGAUUUGGGAAGAUAACACAGCAGUUUACAACAAUGGAGGACAAGAAAUCCUUGAAGAUUAAAAGCAUGAAAGAGCACAGGAAGGCUUGUCUCUGCAGUCAGGCGACGAUGAGGACAUGAAGAUGUAUAACUGUCCCAGGUGUGAGAACAUCACAGUUUACCCCCUCAGGACUUGUAACAGUCUUGCCAGAAGGAGAGUGAAAUAGGAGAUUCCAUUUAUUGGCCCUGGAGACUGACAAGGAACCGACACCUGUGCCCAAAUGUUUUCUGAACCUUGGCAGCAACAGGCGUAUUCAUUAUGCAGCAGUUGCAGAUCCAAGUGUGCUCAAGGCACGGGAGAGCAGCAACCUUCUCCCUUGCAAGGAAAAACAGGUUAAGUAGCAAAACAGCUGGUGCAGUGGAAUCCCUAACAUGUUCCAUCUUCAAGAAAACUGGUGCUUCUGACUGUGUGUCACAAGUGCAAGCUGCAAUUUAUGAAUAUAUUAUGUCAUUUGCACUACCAUGGUUACAGGAGGAAGGAGAAGUUUCUGUAGUCUGUCAGUCGCUCAUGGCUAAGGAAAGAGCGUAUUAUUGAUCUGCUUUCAUUUUAACGAGAAGAGUAUGGAAAUAUGAGUAAGAAAACUUGUGUUUCUUUCCAAAUAUGCUCUUGUGGUCCAGAGCAGAAGAUGAAAGCUGGUUGGGCUUUGUUACUAAUGCGAGUUUGAAGGUUGAGCCUUGCAUAUGGCAUACUGAAGUUCGUGUCCUGUUAAAGGAAAAUUGAUCUUUCUGCACUACGAAGAAGCCUGUCUGUGCAGGACAGGGCUUUCUCACAGGCUAGUUUCAAUGACUCAAGUGGACAAUAUGUUUAUCUUCUUGGAUGGUGAAUAUAAUAAGCUGAAGUGAAUAUAAUAAGAUUGCACUGAAGGAGCAGAAAUAAUGUAGCAGCAACCUUUGGGGAUAUCAGAACUGUGACAAAACCCUGGCCUCUUCUGUUUCCAGCAUCAGCAAUGCAAUAGUAGUUGUGGUGUCUUGAAUUAGUUGGAUGCUGCAAGCAUGGAGAGUAUUGAAUGAAAUCCUUUUCUGCAUCUUUAAUCUGUUUUACGAAGUGCAUCUUCAAAAGGCAGGAAAGUACAGAGGAAGGCAACCUUGUUUUAGGUGCGUUGGAUUCAGAGUUUUUAUUUUGUGAAAGAGAAGAAGGUUAUAGAAGGCGACUGGCUGGGUACCUACUUCUAUUUAUCAGGAAGGUUCUGUCUCCUAGGAUAUCAUUUACCCAUCUUAACUGGUAAUGAUCCUCCAAAGCUCAAAAAAUCUACCACAUUGGUGAUGAAUGUUUGCUGAUGGACAUCAUAUGUUCUGCUAAGGGUUUAAAAGAGCCUAAAAGAAAUCAGAUUCUUCAGUCUUUCAGCAGUGUUAACAGGUGUUUGUAUCAGAGAAGUAAUGAAAUAUUGCCCCAGGUAGGGAAAUAGCGCUGUGAAGCACCCAUAAAUCAGAACACUCUUCUUAUUCUGGGCUGACUAAAUUUGCUUUCAGUAUUUCAGCAUAUCUUUGUUUAUAAAUCUAAGUGCUAUUGUGUUGUAUUGUACUUUGCAGAGUAAUAAAUUGUAACAUUCAACAUUAACUGGUCAGGCUUCAGUGAUAACAAAAGUUCAGCAGGCUGGUGGCACUCUGAUCAAUAUUACCUUCUAUUUAUAGUAUUGUUACAAAUUGAAGUUUUAUUUAAAUUAGACAACACUGAGAAGCUUAAAGUAGAUCAAUGAACUAAAAUACAGUAACGGAUUUUAAUUCGUGUCUGAUAUGCUGCUACUCUUUUGUCACAUGCAUCCUUAAUGUCCCCAAAACAAGAUCACAUUUACGUAUACUGUAACAGACUGUUGUCUGGCAAAACUGCAAAACUGUUUUAAGGCAGCAAGACUGUCACUGUGAAAUGAGCAGCAAAGGUGAUGGAUAGGAGAGAAAAAUGGAAAAUGGUUUCUGUUUGGUUGGGGAUUUGUUGUUUGCAUGUUUAGCUAGUUUUUAUUCAGUAUAUCAUUCUGUUUUCUUAUUCAGUACAUCAUUUUAACCCACAGUAUUUAAGUGUGUCAUAUAGCUAGUGCUACUGUUCUGAUUCUGCUUAUCUUUACACCAACAUAUCUCCAAUGACAGCAGUACAGUAUUUCUGUGACUUUAUAUUGUGAGAUUGGGUUUCAGUUUAUAUAGCUAUAUAUAAGAAUAUAGCUAUUCUUGUUUUUAGAGGUAAACAGAGCCACCAGAUUUUGUGGUUUGAUUGGUGAUGGGGUCUUGAAGACCCAACAAAUAUUGAAUGACAUAUUUAGUAUUUUUGGUUGAAUUGAAAUAUGAAGCUAUCUUGCAACUAUUAAAUUUGACUCUGUUCUAUCUAAAUGCUUGUGUGUAUGUGAGGCAGCAAUAUCUGAGCAACCAGACCUGGGUGGACACAUCAGCUGAAAACAAAGGAGUUGACAUAUUCCUGCUCACUGACUUGACACAUGAGGAGUUGUUAGGAAUCUUGGUUUAUUAUAUUAAUCAUCAUGGUCAGUUGGCACAACCAGCAAGCUCUCUCUAACAGUACCCAAAAUAAACUUAAAAUGAUGGUGCCAGAAAAUUCAUUGCAGAGAGUUAACAAGACCUCUUGUUAACAAGGUCUUCUGAAAAGUGUUUUGAGAUUGAUGAGGAUUUGCCAUUGGACACUGUUAAUUUUUAAACAAGGUCUAAAACAUCUCAUGAAAAUUUUCAUUUCACUCUUCCAACUAUAAGCACAAGUACUUUAGAGAUGGAGGAGUAAUUCUGUCUGAGCUUCUAGAUGCUGCAGAUAAAAGAAACUGAUACAAAAAGAUGCCAGAUAUACUGUAUUGGUAAUGAGACUGAGAAGCUUAUCCUCCCCAAAAGAUCCAGCACUCCCUUUCCAACAUAGAAAUUCUAAAUGGCAAAGCCUGAGUUUUCACAUGCCGACACAGUGGUCCCCUGCAUUUGUAGUAGGGAUACUCAGUGCUCUUCUGUUACUUGAUUCCAAACCCUAAUUUAGAUUUGAGAGCUGUUUUUAUGCCUUUCUACCUGACGUUUCACAGAAGAGCAGAGGCAGGCUGGAGAAACAGAAGUGAGGAAGGGGGUGGUGAGAUGUGUGCUGUCUCCCACUGGAAUCUCAGAUGGAGAUGAAAGACACUGAACAUCCUCUCUCUGAUGUUGAAGGGUCUGAGCCCAUGGGAAAGGAACAGCACAGUGAAGUACAAGGGCUGAUCCAAAAGUAAUGCCUCCUAUUUUAUUAUGUUGGCCUAUGAUGUAAGCGAUUGUUCGUGGUAUGGCAGCAGAGGCUGAACCUUCCCACCAAUAUUCAAUUUCAUUUUGUUGCUGUGCUACAGAUCCAGCAGGGGGCCAGUCUGUCAGCAUGGUGCCUGAUAUGGGAGUGGGGAUGUAGGAAAGGAGUGUAACUGAAUUCCUUUAUGUGGAAAAAAAUGGCACACACUGGCAUUUACUUAUGCUUCUUGAACGCUUGUGAAGACCAAACAGUUGGAUUUCAGCAUGGUGAAGUGGUGGGUGAUGCAUUUCAAUGGCGGUGACAGCAACAGUGUGUCACCUCUGCCAGUGCAGACUUGUUUACGAGUGUGGCAUGCUAAUGAAAAUGCACAGAUAAUGGUGGUGACUAUGCUGAAAAACUGUGUUUAGUAGUUGAGAAUUUGCUUUAUCAAAUAGUGUUAUUGUGCUCUUUGUAUCUGUUGUAGUUCCCAUGGAAAUAAACAUGAGGCAUUACUUUUGGAGCAACCCACUUAGUUUCCAAUUUCCCUUGAUCUGCUUAUUCCUUUGUUCUCUGCAUUAUACUGUUUUCAGGGUCAGAAUUUUUUGUACGCUGCCUGAUAUUUGUGUCUCCUGAAGUGAAGUUUUCUUUUCCUAUGUUUUCUUUUCUUAUGUUUGCCUACAAAUUUCCCUCACUUAAAAAAGUAAAAACAAUAAUAAAUUCUUGUUUUAAUAUUUGUCUUUCUUUUUCUCCCCUCUUUGCUGCCACCAGGCUGUUCCUUGUGCUGACUGCUGCAGCUGCCCACCUUCUCAGUGUGUGAACUAACAUUCACAUCAGAUAGAGGAGGUGGAGCUGGCUUUUAGCUCCAGCAGUGGGCACAGCCUGGGGGAGAGCUGCUUUUUAGCAGCAGGAAAUGUCGGCAUCUUCUGAAAGAAUUUCUGGGGCUGGUUUUCCCAGAUCAAAAUGUAAAAGAGACUCCAUCAUUUCAUCCAGAGAUUAUAUUUAUAUAUGUGUGUAUACUUAUACACACACAAGAAUAAUGUAUUUUCUUUAAUCUUGACCUUCUCUCAGGAGAUAAUCUUACUCCUCCACCCAGCAGCGAUGAGAAUCUCCCUGAGACCUAAACCUACAUAGUGUAAAAAUGGGAGAGAGAUUAUCUUGUGCCUUUUCUGUUUUUUGUCAUCAUUCUCCUUUUUGGUUGUAUGACAGCACCAUGAUCUAGAGACAGAGUGAGACAAGCAAACUGGCUGUACCGUGCCCCAUUUGGCAGAGAAUACUGAGAUCUCCUGAAAUUAAAGUUCAUAGUUUUAAUAGCAUUUUUGAGACUUCAUCUUGCAUAUUAGAACUUAGCCAGGUAUUAGGUAAUUUAGAUAAUAAAUUCUCUUCAAAGUGACCCAUCAUCUUAGUAUUUAUUUUUUUUUCUAGAGGAUGUAAGGCAUAAAAGCAAGCUUUGUAGUUUUAUAUCUGUCAGCAUGUCACAUAAAUAUCUCAGUAACUACUGAUCUUAUCACCAUAAAACUUCCAUUUAUACAGUUAGACAUGUCAUGUUGGUCAGUUGCACAAAAAGUUAAGCACAUGCAAUAUUAAACUCCAACCCAUGCCAGCUCCAUUAGCCCACAUCUUGAAGUUCUCUCUGAACACUAUUAGAGGAGAAGUGGGGGAGGAGGAGGAGGAGCAGACUGCGGACUCAGAUGAGAACGGACUCAUGUUGAAAAUUACUGAAAUGAUGAAAGGGAUUGCAGAGGGAUGUUUGGAGUCUCAGUAUUUCCCUGAAAAUCAAAAGAUCUGUUUUCUGUUUGAUGAAUGACUUUAAUAGGCUUAAUGACCUCGUAUAAUGUAUUUCAUUGUAUUGUUCAUUUUUUUUUAGAAGAUCAGUCUAGAAGCAUUUCAAGCUGUAUCACCUUUGCUGGUCAGAAUUGGACUCCAAUAUCAGCAUGCCAUCUUUACACUUUCAUUACUUUUGUAGCAUUAAAAAAAAAAAAAAUCUGAAUUCAGCAAAUUCUAAAGUUACUUAUUUUUAGGUUUGAGUCUAACUCAGACUUGGCAGGAAUGUGUCUUUAAAGAGCAGUGUAAGCAAUUAUUUAUCUGGAAUAAAGUUUGUUGGGAGUACUAGUUUAUAAAUUGUGCAAUCUAUUAGUUUGAUUUAUGUUUUAAAAAUUCCCAUGAAUAGUACAAUUAAUACUGAUUAUUACUCUUAAGGUCUUCUGCAGUUAAAUUUUUGGGCCCAGUAUGCUGAAGCAGCCUGUUUCUAGAAAUAUCUUGCAUAAGUCAUCUAUAGUGGUUAUUCCAGAAGCUCAGACUGCUGCUGUCUUUCUUUUCCUGCUCCCAGCAUGGUUUCUGCAGCAAAGAAACUGUGAAGUACUAAGGGAGAAGUGCAGCUACCAAGACUUGAAAUGUUUAAAAGAAGGCUGUGAUUCAGCAUGCUCCUGCUCAUGGACGUGAUGCACGUUUUGCCAGUUGCUGACUACUGAGAGACAUGAUGUGAGGAGGCCAGACCUGAACAAAUUCCCUGGGUUGUGAAUCAUGUGGAAGCUCUGUGGGGGAACUGCACCUCUUGUUCAGUAUAGACAGUUGUGAACCUGCUGACUGCAUCUUUCUCCAUCUUUACAAUAGAGGGCCUUCAAACUCCUCUCUCUUGGAGAUGGGAAAAGAUGAUGGAAGUUGUAUGGACAGAUUCAGAGGGAGAGGAUAAGGGACCAGGAGAAGCCCACAGAGAUCUUUCCUAAAGGAUGAGUGCGAUGAAACUGAAGGAAUUAACACCCACUGCCUUCUCCCUUCUUUGGACAGUGAAUACACAGACUUUAAAAAAAAAAAAAAAAGAAGAAAAAAAAAGUAUUUUGCUUUAAGUGAUGGUGCCUCCAAAUGCCCCCAUGAAGUCAUUUUCCAGCUUAAAGCAUCAGGUGUGGAGAAACAGAAGCAGCUCCAGAAACUGUUGAAUGGCAAAAGGCACUUCCUGUUCUGCAGAACACACCUAUACAAGCUGUCCAAGCGGCCUGUACUGUUCAAGGGAGCAUUGCCAGCAAUACAGGUUUAAUGCAUACAUAUACGAUGUUAAGGGUGUGCAUUCUUCUGCUUCCCACAGCUGCACAGCUCACAUGAUGAAAUCUUACGCUUCUGUGCCUAGCAAUGAAGUUUUAAUCACCUCAAUAUACAUCGUUCCACAAUAUAUAUUUUUCUGUCUACCAAAGACAUAAUGGCUCCUCCUUUUAUGGGAAACCAGGAUUUAAUCCAGUAAGUCUGUAAGAAUCAAUAUUCUUGUGAAAUGACACCAUGUUGAAGUUAUUUUAUGUUAUGUUGAUGGUUAGCUAAUUUUGUAAUGGAGACGUUUCUUCUAGAAGCAGACAUAGUAUAAUUUAGUGGUAAAAACGUCAAUCACAAGGGGUUGAACACUUAUGUCAGGGCAGGAAAAGGGCAGAUUUAUUGAUGGAAAUGUAUCUAUAUACUCCUUGCAGCACUUUGACCUGAAAUAUCCAUUUUGGUUAUAAUUUUGUUUUGUGAAAAUGACAUCAACUGUAAUCACUAAUGUAAAAAUGACACUGGAAUGCUUUGUUCCACAGGCCUGAUUUAAAAGUCUUGCUGCUGUUUGUUAUAGUAACGGCUUUUCAAUAGCAAGCAAAUUAAGGCACUCAUUUAACUGCUCCUUUUUUGUGUUUGUAGGAUUUUGUAAUAGAUGACAACCUCAGAAGAAAAAAAAAAAGAAGCAGUGUUCUUUUUUCUACUAUUUAAGAUUGUUUAAACAAUAAAUAUAUAGCAUGUUUCAUAAUGACAUUGAAGUAACCAAGAGAAGGAGGCAUGGUGCUCUGGAUAAUGCUAUAUGCGGAUGUAUUCCUGUGUGGCUUUUCUUCCCAAUGCCAGUUAACCACCCACCCAAAGCCAUAAAAAACAGCAAUAGGAAUGGGUAGGAGAGGAUGGAGUAAUGUAAGUACAGAGGUUGAAAAAGAGUAAGUAACAAGGAAGGAGACAAAUAAAUAAAACAGUCCAAAGCACAGGGAGCAUAGGAAUAUCUCACUUGAGACCUCAACAAAAAUACAAAAUCCUCAUCGAUUCAGCGAUUCAAUGAACUUUCAUAGUAUUACUCCAGAUUAAUAAUGAUGUAACUAAAAACAGAAAGUGGUCUAACCUCAGCUUAAAGAAUAGGAAAAAGUGCAUUAGGAACAAUAUGAAUUUUAUAGAGGAUCUGCACUGUGAUGUGAAGUACUGGUUAGUCUCAAUUUUCUUCUGCACUAUCAUUACCUAUCAUGACUGCCUGGUUACUAAAGGCUUAAUUGAUCUCCAGGCUAGUAUCUGGAGUUUUCACUUUAGUGUAAGGUGAAUCUUGCAUACUUGAAAGCUUAAUUUAGUAUAAAAAAACUGAUGUUUUACCAGCUAGCAGAUUAUCAAACUUUCCUAUUUUCUUCCUUUUUGUUUAUACCCUUUGCGUGAUAACACGUAAAGCCAACCCCUCACUUUCUACCAACAAUAGGGAUGUACAUUACCUGCAUCAUAAAUCUUAACACUUGUGUGUUUUUCAGGCAAAUAAAUGGCAGAAUCAGAGACCAUCCACUGUCCUGCUCCGUGGUCCCAUGGCAGAAAGUGAAACUCUGAACAAUUAAGGCAGCACAGACAUCCUGCCCUAAAGGACUUUCCUUGAGGAACGACAGCUGUGUGCUUCCUUCCUGUAACUUGGAAGAGCUGCAAAGAAAAGGAAAGCCAAAACAAACAAACAAACAACAAAAAGCCCAACCAUGCGAAAUGUGAAGAGUAAAAUCUGCCAGAUCCGAGGAGCCAUUGUACAGCUGGAGAUGAGCCAUAAAUCUGCAAAAGUUCCGUGUUCAUGCAAAGACCUGGUUGGAAUUGCUAUACCCCUUCCACCCCUUCCUUCCCCAGGUGAAAUUUGUCCUGCAAUGUGCGACAGACCAGAAGAAAAGCACACACACUUUUCCUGGAAUUACGAUGCUUUAUAGACUUUCUGAUGGAGGAGGAUGUUAUAUGGCAACUGCCCUGUGCUAAAGAGUUGGUUAAAAAGCACCCCGGAAUAAAGCUCAGAACAGAAUGGAGAGCUGCCAGGAAGCAGACAGCUGCAGGAGGAAAUGGCAGAGAGCAUCCAUGUGGUGCCGGUGUGCCAAGGCCAAGGGCAGCAGCCAGCCCAGGAUGGGCAGCCGGACAUGAGAAGAUGGGGACGUGGUGACAGAGUCACUGAAGGCCCCAGGAGGGAGCAGUGGUGUGAGUGCAUCGCCUGUCUGUUGUGCCACUUGUUACAGCCUACCUGAUACACCUGGGAUUUUUGAAGUAUUUAGUUUCCGAGGGAUAUCCAGAUUUCAGGGAUGGAUCCUGGAAGAACAUUCAGGCGGCAAUGACCUCUGACAUUUGGAAAGCCAAAUAACAGUGGAAUAAGUGGCUUAGAGAGAGUUAAGCAAGAGAGAAUGUUCCACCCCACACUGGCACGGUGCUCUGCUUCGCUCCAUUUCACAUCUCUGCUUCUCCAUGAAGUCAUGCCCCUCAAUCCAGAAAGCUUCCAUCAGAAAUGCUCAGUACUGCGUGUUUAGUGUAAUACUUACACCCUGUCAAGACUUCCAAAGCACAACAAAUUAAUCUGGAAAUUCAGAUCGGACUGUUGCAAGGAUGUAACAGGAGCUCUGCAGGGAGAAGGUGGGAUGAAGGCACUGAGAAUGAAUUGUUGCCCAAAGGGAUUGAUUGCCAUGGAGGAAGACCAGAAAAAGGAUAAAAAACAGCAACAAAAUGUGUAGUAAAGAAGGUGGAAACAGGAAACAAAUGGUGAAGUGAUACCAUGAUGCUCUACUGGCUCAAAAGCAAGAAAAAAUUAUGAAAGCAUUAAUUUAUUCAUUUUCAGCCAAAUGAAAACAAAACAAAAAAAUCAAAACAAAAAACUAGUACAUAAAAAGAGAAAAUAGACCAGAAGUUAGAACAUGUGAAGAAAAUGGGCAGCAAAGGAAGAGGAAAUGAAGAGUGGUGAAACAAGUGUUGGAAAAAAAGGAGUGGGGGUGAAGAAGCAACACAAAGAGAUCUGAUGCACAGGGCUUUUAGAGAUACUUAGAAUCUUCAGCUGCUGAGAGCAGGAUCUUGUUGUACAAGAUGAUACAGAGGCACACAAUAAAGGACUGCUGGUCCCAGGAGCCUGGCAAGCUAAGCAAGGGGAGAGAAGAAAUAUCACCACUGUUUUACAAAUGGAAAUAUGGAAAACCAGAGCUCUGAGAAUCUGUGCAACUCAUUGCAGUGUCACACAGCAAUAUUGGCAAGGGAAUUCUGUCAAAGUCCAGAAUCAGUGCAUACUAAAGACCCUGUAAUCCUGGGGAAGCGGUAGCAAGCAGGGGGUAUUCACUCAAGACCAAGCAGUGGAGAAGCGCGUUGAUAUUCCCUGAAGACAAAAUAAACCGAGUGGAAAGUUCACUGUCUUCCUUUUGAAGAUGACUGAAGGUUUCCAUUUCAGCCAAUCCUUCCGAGCAGUCUGUCUUUGGAAAUAAAUGUUACCCCUCUGAUAAGCUAACCAAUUUGAAGAUUAAAGCUGCAUUUGAGGAUUAAAGUUUUUCUUAUUUGA